This is a small nucleolar RNA of Apodemus sylvaticus (European woodmouse), 142 nucleotides long. RefSeq annotates it as small nucleolar RNA SNORA48. NCBI's taxonomy places the organism in Eukaryota, Metazoa, Chordata, Mammalia, Rodentia, Muridae. The record is from RefSeq and is a predicted model, not a curated record. The transcript has a single exon.
CCUCCCUGCAGUGGGCAAAGAGAUGCCUUGCUGAUGGUGGUAUUGUUAAUCAGUCAGGGGCAGAGCAGGUGGCAGUCCUCUGUCCAUCCUAGCUUGAUGCCUAACUUGGUGGCCAAAGUUGUCUUAUGCCUAGGACUCAUGA